Long non-coding RNA from Solanum dulcamara, 820 nucleotides. RefSeq lists it as uncharacterized. NCBI's taxonomy places the organism in Eukaryota, Viridiplantae, Streptophyta, Magnoliopsida, Solanales, Solanaceae. The record is from RefSeq and is a predicted model, not a curated record. The transcript has 6 exons.
AACACAGAAACAUGAGCAUGAGAGAGUAUGCCUUAAAGUUCACUCAAUGGUCAAAAUAUGCUCCAUUCAUGAUUGCCUACUCUAAAGCUUGUAUGAGCAAGUUUGUUUCGGGUGUUUCAAACUUUGUGGUCAAAGAGUGUAGAACCGUCAUGUAGAUUAAAGAGAUGGAAAUCUCAAGGUUGAUAACACAUGCCGAGCAGAUAGAGGAGGAAAAGCUUAAAUAGAGAGCUAGAGAGUCAAAGAGGGUAAGGACCGAUGGUGGUGACUUUUCACAUGGGAGGUCCAAAUAUGGGAUUGAGGUUGAAGAUCAUAUUCGUCCACGUGGCUAGUUAAGCUUUCCUAUUUGGUGGUGUUUGUGGGGUUGAAGUUGAAGAUCAUAUUCUUCCACCUGGCUAGGUGUAUAUGUGCUUAUACAAGCUAAGAGGAACUGUUUGACGAAGUGGAUUUUGGUUAGUCUAUGGCGAAGAGGAAUUGAGCUCCUCGAGUUGUGGUAGAACCUGUUGUAUGCUAAAACGCCAAGGGUCUGACGAUCAUCACACUUAUCCUUUCGCUCGUGGCUAGAUAUUUAGUACUACUUCUAUUGUUGGGACCGGUGCUCUUCCUCAUUCUCCUCCAACUGGCUAGCUCGGAUUAACUUGAAGGUUACUUGUGGUGAGUUCCCAUAUUUCGGGAACAACAUCCCUUUUAUUCUAGUUAUGCAAAACAUUAAGACUUCUAUUAUGACAUUUCUUGAGACUUGUUUUGAGGGUGAGCUAGGGAUAUGUCUUAGCCCCCGCCAAGUCUAUUAGUAGAGGUAUGUUUGGAAAAAAAUGUAUAAUGA